AGCUAUCUUCUUUCUAUGUGAAAAAGGUAAGCAAACACUCUAAAGGUUCCAAACAUAAAAAGAGAUGUGACAUGUCAGGGCCACAGAAAUAGUCAGCCUCUGAAAACCUUAGGAUUGUAUGAUGAUGUUGUUGUUGUUGUUGUUAUUAUUAUUAUUAUUAUUAUUAUUAUUGAGAGGCUGAGUGGCCAUCUGUUGGGAGUGCUUGGAUUGUGUCCUGCAUGGCAGAUGGUGGGAGGUGUUCGCUGGCCUUGAUUGUUUAGUGUCUGGCAUUCCCGUGUUUUAAGAGUGUUGUUUUUUAUUUGGUGUUGUGAUUUUAAGCCUGUUAAAAUAUUAGGAGAGAGAUUGUGUUGAUUGUCAUGGUUUAUAGCAUAUAUUUAAAAUAUAGAGUAUUAAAAUGGGUUGGAUAUUGUAGAAGGUUGGAGUGGAGAUAAAUGAUUCGGAUGAUGGGCGGGCGCUAGGACCCAGGGGACAGCUUUUUCCCAUUGCCUGCCUUCCCUCUUGCCGGCCGGCCAUUAUACUUUCUGUUUCCCUCCCGGCAUGGCUACCGAUGGUGCGUUGUGGGUUCUGUCCAUGUGGAGGUUAUGAAGGAGUGAAGUUCUCCUUUAAGAGAGCAGGUUGAUUUUCUUCCAAGAUUAAAUACUGACCGGGCAUGCAGGAGGAAGCCUUGGUCCAGGAUGGCAAGUGGUUAUGAAAGUAUAUCUGCUAGCUCAAGAGGAAGCCGCAUCAAGCCAACCCUGACUGGGAUCACCUUCCAUCUGCAAACUGAUGUCCUCACUGCGGAAGAACAUGCAGAUCAAGAAUAGGUCUCUACAGUCACCUAUGGACCCACCGCCAAUACCCUACACCUGGAAGGCAAUCAUACUCGGCUAUGAGGGAUUGCCUAAGUAAGAAAGCGGCCUUAUAACUUAAUUAGCACAGGCCCUCGUUUGUCCCAGAUCCAGCACUGCCAGAAACUAAUUCCUAUGAUAAUUGGAAGCUGGGUAAGUUUGGCUUAGAUAAAAUUUGAGACAUGAUAUGGUGACCACAUUAAAUAUCUCAAGGAA
Anolis carolinensis (green anole) is the source of this 1043-nucleotide long non-coding RNA. RefSeq lists it as uncharacterized. Lineage: Eukaryota; Metazoa; Chordata; Lepidosauria; Squamata; Anolidae. The record is from RefSeq and is a predicted model, not a curated record. The transcript is spliced from 3 exons.